This 177-nucleotide ribosomal RNA is filed under the name uncultured bacterium. Its description in RNAcentral is "partial 16S ribosomal RNA". It matches the Rfam family "Bacterial small subunit ribosomal RNA", at positions 335 to 524 of the family's 1533-position model. The record is from RNAcentral.
ACUCCUACGGGAGGCAGCAGUGGGGAAUAUUGCGCAAUGGGCGAAAGCCUGACGCAGCGACGCCGCGUGGGGGAUGACGGCCUUCGGGUUGUAAACCUCUUUCAGCAGGGACGAAGCGAAAGUGACGGUACCUGCAGAAGAAGCACCGGCUAACUCCGUGCCAGCAGCCGCGGUAAU